Molecule: ribosomal RNA, 465 nt
Filed under: uncultured bacterium
Lineage: Bacteria
Description: partial 16S ribosomal RNA
Rfam family: Bacterial small subunit ribosomal RNA
Source: RNAcentral
CCUACGGGGGGCUGCAGUGGGGAAUAUUGCGCAAUGGGCGAAAGCCUGACGCAGCGACGCCGCGUGAGGGAUGAAGGUCUUCGGAUCGGAAACCUCUGUCAGUAGGGAAGAACGGUCACUGUGCUAAUCAGCAGUGAAUUGACGGUACCUGCAAAGGAAGCAUCGUCUAACUCCGUGCCAGCAGCCGCGGUAAUACGGAGGGUGCGAGCGUUAAUCGGAUUUACUGGGCGUAAAGCGCUCGUAGGCGGUAUGUCAAGUCAAGGGUGAAAUCCCCGCGCUCAACGUGGGAACUGCCGUUGAAACUGGCAAACUGGAGUGUGUGGGAGGAUAGUGGAAUUCCAGGUGUAGGAGUGAAAUCCGUAGAUAUCUGGAGGAACAUCAGUGGCGAAGGCGACUAUCUGGCACAUAACUGACGCUGAGGAGCGAAAGCGUGGGUAGCAAACAGGAUUAGAUACCCCUGUAGUC